GACGAACGCUGGCGGCGUGCUUAACACAUGCAAGGCGAACGGAAAGGCCCUGCUUUUGUGGGGUGCUCGAGUGGCGAACGGGUGAGUAACACGUGAGUAACCUGCCCUUGACUUUGGGAUAACUUCAGGAAACUGGGGCUAAUACCGGAUAGGAGCUCCUGCUGCAUGGUGGGGGUUGGAAAGUUUCGGCGGUUGGGGAUGGACUCGCGGCUUAUCAGCUUGUUGGUGGGGUAGUGGCUUACCAAGGCUUUGACGGGUAGCCGGCCUGAGAGGGUGACCGGCCACAUUGGGACUGAGAUACGGCCCAGACUCGUACGGGAGGCAGCAGUGGGGAAUAUUGCACAAUGGGCGGAAGCCUGAUGCAGCAACGCCGCGUGCGGGAUGACGGCCUUCGGGUUGUAAACCGCUUUCGCCUGUGACGAAGCGUGAGUGACGGUAAUGGGUAAAGAAGCACCGGCUAACUACGUG
Molecule: ribosomal RNA, 468 nt
Filed under: uncultured bacterium
Lineage: Bacteria
Description: partial 16S ribosomal RNA
Rfam family: Bacterial small subunit ribosomal RNA
Source: RNAcentral